GGCCCUUUGGGGAAGUGGUUAACCCACCUCCCUCCGGCUUUUGCUGCAAGGAGGAUAUCGUCGGUUCAAUCCCGGCAAGGGUCG
This 84-nucleotide transfer RNA is filed under the name Microbotryum lychnidis-dioicae p1A1 Lamole. RNAcentral's name for it is "tRNA-Arg for anticodon CCG". It matches the Rfam family "tRNA". Rfam says of the family: Transfer RNA (tRNA) molecules are approximately 80 nucleotides in length. Their secondary structure includes four short double-helical elements and three loops (D, anti-codon, and T loops). Lineage: Eukaryota; Fungi; Basidiomycota; Microbotryomycetes; Microbotryales; Microbotryaceae. The record is from Rfam by way of RNAcentral.